Molecule: ribosomal RNA, 397 nt
Filed under: uncultured bacterium
Lineage: Bacteria
Description: partial 16S ribosomal RNA
Rfam family: Bacterial small subunit ribosomal RNA
Source: RNAcentral
AUACGAAGGGUGCAAGCGUUACUCGGAAUUACUGGGCGUAAAGCGUGCGUAGGUGGUUGUUUAAGUCUGUCGUGAAAGCCCUGGGCUCAACCUGGGAAUGGCGAUGGAAACUGGGCGACUAGAGUGUGGCAGAGGGUAGUGGAAUUCCUGGUGUAGCAGUGAAAUGCGUAGAGAUCAGGAGGAACAUCCGUGGCGAAGGCGACUGCCUGGGCCAACACUGACACUGAGGCACGAAAGCGUGGGGAGCAAACAGGAUUAGAUACCCUGGUAGUCCACGCCCUAAACGAUGCGAACUGGAUGUUGGGCGCAAUUUGGCACGCAGUAUCGAAGCUAACGCGUUAAGUUCGCCGCCUGGGGAGUACGGUCGCAAGACUGAAACUCACAUGAAUUGGCGGGG